CCCCCCUCCCCACGACCAUCACCCUGAUAACGAUCUGCACCGCGGUCUCAUUAUCCCAGAAAACGUUCGUUGCACAUUCACGCGGCUGUGUGAGAUGUGCAGGGCGGCGCUGUGGUCAUUGUGAUGCACAGCGUGGCCAUCUGCAAGGACUGAAGGACACAACUGGAGGAGACAGACUUCCCACAGAAACAGACACACACAUCGAUACACAUUGACAGGCAUAAACACACAUGAAUGAGCACACACACACACACACACACACACACACACACACUCUGAGCCUUCCACAGACAAUUACGGUAUAAUUAUGGCGCUCGUUAUUUAUCUCUGCAGGAGAUUCACAUGGUUUCUUUGUUCAUAGAACGUUUUUAAAUCCGCAGCUGGAACGGAACAAAGAAAAACAACCCCAAAAAGCCGGGAUUUUUCCCCGAUGAUCAGAGUCAGCUGCACGUACCUGAGAAGCAAAUCAAAACCAUGAGGUGAAAGGACAGAUGUGAAAUGGAUCUUUUUGGAGGAAUGUUUUUCGUGAGAGGGUUUUGUUAGGAGAGGACACACAGACGGCGGUGUGAUGUUCAUCCUGUCACAACUCGGCCGGCGCAGCAUCAGGGCGGCGUAUGAGGGCCAAUGUAGGUGAAAAUAAGGAAAAUAAUAAUAAUAGUUAUGGAGCAUAGGGGAGGGAGAGUGUUAAGACAAAAAAUAGAUACUUAUUUAAGAGCAAUUUCACAACUCUCCUAGAUUAUAACGUCAUAGAUUUCUGAGUCGAAAAAAUGGAUAGCAAAUUAACAAAUUAAAAACACAAAUUUACCAGAUUACGAAAUCAUUCAUUUACAAGAAAAAAAGAACAACAAAAAGUGUCCAAAGCCCUUUUUUAUGAAAGGUUUAGUAUUCCUAUGAAGGAAAACAUUGCUUCAAAGCAACACAAGUAGAAAACACAUAACAAUGUACAGCACUCCCAAAGCAUUCACUUUAUAAUAAUAAAUAAGUAAUCAGAAUUAUUGCCUUGUGUUCUCUUUACAGCGACAGGUGUGUAUUUUUGUCUGUUUUCCCUACAGUUGUAUUUGUAGUCGAUAUAUAUCACAUUCCCAACAAAGCAGUUCGUCAUAGAUGGACAACAAGUAUAUGAAGUACGGGUGAGAAGCCAGCCAGAAAAUUCUUUGUAUAAUCAUAAUGUCUUGAAACGCUCUGUAUGCAUUCAAACAUUUAAAUAUAUUUUAUAUGAAAAAUAAAAUGACAGAAAUGGAAUUGUAAUGAUUGUUAAACCAGAUCUCAGAACAUCUGGUUUCUCAUGUCCUUUGUUUAGUGGACAUUUGCAUUAAACUCAAACCCUCAUCGUGUCAUUUAAAGCCUCAGUGUCCUCGAGAAGCAGCCGGACUUUGACUUUCACUCCUCUGAAACACAACAAUUUCCUUCUGUCAGUCGAGGCGUCAUAACUAUUUUGCCACUACAAAUUGAAUUUACAGCUUUUGUGCCUGUGGUUUUUCUCCAACCGAAGACUUAUUGAAGUGUCACUCUGAGCGGUGCUGUUUCCCAUUUAUCUUUCCAUUUUUCCUGCUGAUAAAUAGUUCUACAUCUAUGUUUUGUUGUGUAGAUUAAAAGUCACAAAAAGAGAAUUCUUGUUGGUUUGGAUUGUUCAUUGUACGGUUGGCUGGUGGGUUGGUUGAGGGGUUUGUUGUAUGGUGAUUGGUCUGUUAGUUUAUUCGUUGGAUUGUUGUAUGGUUGGUUGACGGGUUGUUUAUUUGGUUGAUGGGUUGGUUGGAUUGUUUUGUUGGUUGGAUGGGUUAUUUGGUUGGCUAAGGGAUUGAUCGAUAGUUGAUAGUUGAUAAUUAGUUCAACUUAACUCAAGGCUUAUUAACAUUCUUAAGAAAUAUGGAAACUGAUAACAAGUUUUUUACACGUAAUGAUUUGUGAUCUAACAAUCUCGCAUUGAACAUGUUUAUGAAAGUGUCAUUUUAAUGAUAUAGUGUCAUAUGAUGCUAAUAACCAUUUUAUGGGAUUUAACCUAUCGAUUGAGGUCCAUUACAAGUACCUUAAUGUGAGGUGUUAGUGUCAGUUUGACCGCACUUAUCUUCAUCUGUUGAUAGUCAUCAGAUCUUUUAAACCACCGCAAAUAAAACGUUUACCAAACCCUUUGAAAUUAAAUGAACCUCAGUGUUUGCAAACAUGUUCCUUAACGUCUAGCUGGAUUAACUUUCAAAUCCUAAAGCGUCAACGGUUGUGGGUAAUUCCCUCCAUCGAAGGUUCAGUGAUCUGUUGCAGCCGCUGACGGUUGUCAGGGGUUACAAAGCAGAUCAGAUGAAGGGUGAGAGCUUUAUUCUGCCGGGCCGCUGCCGCUGCAUGUGAAACAAAGGUAUCUUCAAAGGUGGUGCUUUUGAUUUGCUACGCGCGCAGACAACACGAUGCGGGUCAGCCGCUCCGACUCAGCGCAAAGCGACGUCUGAAGACGACAUGCUGGAUGACAGCGGGAGGCGACUGAUGAGUAACAGCCGAGCUAAAGGCCCCGGGUUUCAUCCGCACCGACAGAUUCAGGACGCCAUCUGCAUCGGCGAGGCCAAACAACAAUAACCGCACGUGCUGCGACGGGAUUUAAGAGUUCAGGUUACGCCCGCUGUGAUUAAUAUACAGGAAGUCACUCGUGGUGACACUGAGCUAAGACGGCAAUAACUUCAAAGUUACUGUGUUCAGAAACACAGCAACAAAAAGGAAAAGACUUUGCACAUGUCUUUACUCUUUAUUCUUGAGUGUUCAUUUUAUAUGAAACAAAUAUUUGUGGUUACAUUUUUUGCUCGUGCUUUUUGUUGUCUUCUUUCAUAGUUAGCCGAGUAUCUUUGGUUUUGGAUUGUUAAAAGUGCAAUUGCACAAUUACAAUUGUAAUUUCUGUUCUAUUUUGCACUGGUUCAGAGAGAUAAAGAUAUCUUCUUCUUCUUUCCCUUAUUUUUUCUUUAUUUCUGCAAGGUUUGUGAAACCUGUAUUUGGCCUGUAAAGAAAAAGGUAGCGCCUCUGAAGGCACGGUAUGGCCUCUAAAGGUACGGCCUGUAAAGGUACGGCCCAUAAAGGUACGGCCUCUAAAGGUACGGCCUCUAAAAGUACGGCCUGUAAAGGUACGGCCCAUAAAGGUACGGCCCGUAAAGGUACGGCCUCUAAAGGUACGGCCCAUAAAGGUACGGCCUGUAAAGGUACGGCCUCUAAAGGUACGGCCCAUAAAGGUACGGCCUGUAAAGGUAGGGCCCAUAAAGGUACGGCCCAUAAAGGUACGGCCUGUAAAGGUAGGGCCCAUUAAGGUACGGCCCGUAAAGGUACGGCCUGUAAAGGUAUGGCCCAUAAAGGUAGGGCCCAUAAAGGUACGGCCUCUAAAGGUACGGCCCAGCCAACUUAAUCCCAACGUUCCCUUAAAUGCUGUGAUGCAGGGAGGGGGAUGCGGUGCUUUGCAUUGCAUCAAUGUAUGAAAGGAAGUGAACAAAACACAAGCAAAGCCUGCGGCGUCCAAUCGUCCAACACCCUGGAGACUCAGAGACAUUCAACCAACCGCCUCCGUCUGUCAUGAGACCCGGACAUACCGUCGCGCACUCACAGACACACCCCUGAGCCGGCUAUGUAAUAAUCCAACUCCUCCGACUCGUUAUAUCAGCACCUCCU
Molecule: long non-coding RNA, 3633 nt
Organism: Gasterosteus aculeatus aculeatus (three-spined stickleback)
Lineage: Eukaryota; Metazoa; Chordata; Actinopteri; Perciformes; Gasterosteidae
Source: Ensembl